Molecule: long non-coding RNA, 395 nt
Filed under: Brassica napus (rape)
Lineage: Eukaryota; Viridiplantae; Streptophyta; Magnoliopsida; Brassicales; Brassicaceae
Description: long non-coding RNA (BNAP_LNC005019)
Source: RNAcentral
UCAAAUGUAGAAGACGCUAAACAUAUAGGCAUAUCAAAGAGUCUACUACAACAGCUAUGAUGCGACAUCAUGCUCAUACAAAGACAAACCCUACGAACUCUAUUGUUUCCAAUUGUUCCAAAACAAUUGCUGGAACUAAAGUUGAGACUUAUUUUUGAUCAAAAAAAAAAGUUGAAACUUAUUAUAAUUUUAAAAAGGAGGGAGAGUGCCAUCUCGAGGCGACACGAGCACUUUCCCGGCGAUUCCUCCUUCACACAUUUGCACACCAUUGAAAUUCUCCAAAGUUUUUCUUUGGAUUCCCGUGAACCUCUCUUUCUCUCUCUCUUGCUUUCGCGCACCUCAAGAAAUGUCCACCGGUUUUCGUGUUUUCGUUUGUUUCUUUAUUAACAAAACUU